GACGAACGCUGGCGGCGUGCUUAACACAUGCAAGUCGAACGAUGACGACCGAGCUUGCUCGGUCUGAUUAGUGGCGAACGGGUGAGUAACACGUGAGCAACCUGCCCUUCACUCUGGGAUAACCUCGGGAAAUCGGGGCUAAUACCGGAUAUGAGCUCCUGUCGCAUGGCGGGUGUUGGAAAGUUUUUCGGUGAAGGAUGGGCUCGCGGCCUAUCAGUUUGUUGGUGAGGUAGUGGCUCACCAAGGCGAUGACGGGUAGCCGGCCUGAGAGGGCGACCGGCCACACUGGGACUGAGACACGGCCCAGACUCCUACGGGAGGCAGCAGUGGGGAAUAUUGCACAAUGGGCGAAAGCCUGAUGCAGCGACGCCGCGUGAGGGAUGACGGCCUUCGGGUUGUAAACCUCUUUCAGCAGGGGAGAAGCGAAAGUGACGGUACCUGCAGAAGAAGCGCCGGCUAACUACGUG
Molecule: ribosomal RNA, 467 nt
Filed under: uncultured bacterium
Lineage: Bacteria
Description: partial 16S ribosomal RNA
Rfam family: Bacterial small subunit ribosomal RNA
Source: RNAcentral